AAAAAUAAAAUAAAAUAUUACAAUCUUUUAAAAAUUUCGAAAUAUGUGCAUUCUCAUCUUAUGAUAGAACUUAAACUAUCCCUUACGAAAUUAUGUCAUUCAAAUCAUUUCAAAAACUAUUAUAGUGUUGCCAAAACAUAUACAAUUACAAACAGAUUCUUCAAAAGGACAGACAGAAUCAAAAAAAAAAAAAAAGAAAAAAAAAAGAAAAAGAAAAAGGCAACAUUGACAAGGGCAACAAAGUCUUUAAAUAGUGACAGUUUAACCUAAGCACUCCGCAGGUAAAAGAAGCACAGAUUGUCGGGAGCAGAAAUUGUUAUGGGGCAAUCAGAGAUGGUGGACCAAAGUUAAAUGGCUUGUCUAAACAUCGAACAUGUAAAUCCACCGUUAAAAAGUUAAAACCCUCCAAUUUUCCAGGUGGAUUCCAUCGUGGUUGUCAAAGCCGUUCGAUGUUUAAUCCCCAAAAGGAACUCAGGCUGGCUUAGCGCUUAGGGAACUGAAAAAGUAGCAGCCGGAGGAGCCGACAAGAACCUGCGGAAAGAGUAGCCGCGGAGCCGACAAGUACGCGCCGCUGCCGCCGAUUUGCUGUCUGAGUAAGCGUCCAGGGAAAGCGACUCAUAACUGCUUUAGGAGGACACACGUCGAGAAAUUAAUGUGAGGAAGGGAGUAUAAAGUAGGUUCUGUGUACGGAAGAUCGUUUCCGGAAAUGACAGAGCAUGCGAAUUCCAUUUCCAGGUGGAUCGUUUACAUCCUGGUGGGACUAUUGGUGGGUGGGACCCACCUGUUCUGCACCAACCCCCCCUCCAUAACGCGAAAAAUGUCAUUCUCCUUUUGACCUUUCGUCCUUUUUGUAAUUGGUUCUUUCAAGUAACUUCCGCAGACUCUUUUCUUUCGAUUCAAUUUGAUUUGGGUUUAGUUUAUUUAACAAAUAUAAAAAUUGAUAUGACUUAGGUUUCUUUUUUUUUAAUAAUUUUAUAUCUGGACAUAAAUAUCGAAUAUAUAUGAACAAAAAAAUAUCUUAACCAUAAUUUUUUUCAUAAUUACCUUCAAUAAAUAGCUUUCUUCGAAUGUGUAUUAAUUUGGUAUUGUUUAAUUUGACAUACUUGUCUUCAUUUGAGAUAAAGGGUGUGUUUGGUUGAUGGGAUCGGCCAUGACAGAAUGGGAUUGUGUUCCAAGUGUGAUGUUUGGUUUACAAUUUUAAAUUUGGGACAAAUUAACCCAAACAGUGUUUUAAUACCAAAUGACUGGGACUCAAUUGACCCGUCCCCCUCUGGGCCAUAUUUGUCCUAAGCUCAUCGAAGGUCUCUCUCGCUGGCAACUCCCUCCCAGUGGUGUCUUUGGCUAGAUCAUUUUUGCUGGACUGUUCGCGUCUCUCGUAGGAGUGGAAACUCCCGGGCUUGAUAUUCACGAGGAAGAAGGCUUAAUUUUGGAGGCUUAAACUAGAGCUAAAGCAUCAGAUUUGGAAGUUUAGACUUAUCUUGUGAUUUGGAUCGGUUGGAUAACGAGGCAGUGCAACUUACGAGUGGUUGAGAAACUUCGGUCCCUGACAGCCAAAAAAGCUUGAAAUGGAGGUUGGAGGUAGCAGUCAUGAUAUCCGAGGGGUCGAAUCUAGACGAAUAUGGAGUAAAAUGGAGGAAGAUGCUUUGCUGCUUAUUUUAGAUGAGGUUGUAGUUAGUGGGCAGCGGUGUGACACAGGAUCAUUCAAGCCUGGCACAAGUGCUAUGAUUGAGAGGCGAUUAGCUGAGAUAUGUCCUAAUUCGGGGUUGCGAGCAAAUCCACAUAUUUAGUCAAAAUUGAAAAAGUGGAAGAAGCAAUACGGUAUAAUAUACGAUAUGCUAAACAAAAGUGGAUUUGGAUGGAAUGACUCUCUUAAAUGUGUGGAAGUUGAUAGUGACGAAGUUUGGAAAGCAUAUAUGCAGAGUAAUCCAAGUGCAAAGGCAUGGAGAGAUAAAUCGUUUCCGAUGUAUGAGAGGCUUGCUACAAUUUUUGGAAAGGAUCGGGCAACAAGACAUGGAGCACAAACUUUGAUUGAUAUGGUCAAUGAUUUGAAUUUGGAUAGUGGGAAUGAACAAUUUAAUGAUGUGUGUUCUCCUAUGUCUAUGAAUGAAAUACAUAGUGAACCGUCCACCCGAUCUAAAUCAAGAGGUAAGAGAAAAUCUGGAUUGAAGGAUGAUGAUAUUAUGAGCGGGUUUAGCAAUGUAGCAGAGAAAUUGUUUGAUAAAUUGGCUGCAAAGUUAGAUAAAUCUGAAGCCAAUUAUCCACAAUACUUAGCUAUGGAGCUUGACAGGUUAGGCUUCUCUGCUGAUGACAAUCUCGAUAUCUCUAAGGCAUUAAGAUUGGAUCCAUCGAAUGAUGAGGUGUUUAAGAUUAUUAGGACGGAUGCGGGCAAGAUUGAUUUUGCUAGGAAAUUUUUAAAUUACUAAGUAUCUUUGUGGAUCAUAUAUUUAAGCCUAUAUAUGAAGGGAUGAUAAUUAGGAACACUUAUAUUUGAACUUUAUGGACAUAUGUUGUAUGAUUGUUUAUGGACAUAUGUGGUAUGGUAAUGGAUAUUGGUAUCUAAUUAUGCAUGUAAAGACACUUUUAUGAAGCAUGUGUUAUGUUUUAGUGUAUUAAUAUGCACUUGAUUGAUUUAAUGCAUUGUCAUUUUGUUUAAUUAUAUUAUUAUAUUAUGU
Molecule: RNA transcript, 2672 nt
Organism: Ziziphus jujuba (common jujube)
Lineage: Eukaryota; Viridiplantae; Streptophyta; Magnoliopsida; Rosales; Rhamnaceae
Exons: 5
Source: RefSeq, a predicted model, not a curated record